RNAcentral lists this ribosomal RNA (912 nucleotides) under uncultured bacterium. RNAcentral describes it as "bacterial SSU rRNA". It matches the Rfam family "Bacterial small subunit ribosomal RNA", at positions 579 to 1498 of the family's 1533-position model. The record is from RNAcentral.
UUUGUUACGUCGGUUGUGAAAUUCAGGGCUCAACCCUUGACUUGCAGCCGAUACGGGCAAGCUAGAGUUGGUAGGGGAGACUGAAUUCCUGUGUAGCGGUGGAAUGCGCAGAUAUCAGGAGGAACACCGAUGGCGAAGGCAGGUCUCUGGCCCAAUACUGACACUGAGGAGCGAAAGCGUGGGGAGCGAACAGGAUUAGAUACCUGGUAGUCCACGCCGUAAACGGUGGGCGCUAGUUGUGCGAACCUUCCACGGUUUGUGCGACGCAGCUAACGCAUUAAGCGCCCCGCCUGGGGAGUACGAUCGCAAGAUUAAAACUCAAAGGAAUUGACGGGGCCCCGCACAAGCAGCGGAGCAUGCGGCUUAAUUCGACGCAACGCGAAGAACCUUACCAAGGCUUGACAUAUACAGGAAUAUGGCAGAGAUGUCAUAGCCGCAAGGUCUGUAUACAGGUGGUGCAUGGUUGUCGUCAGCUCGUGUCGUGAGAUGUUGGGUUAAGUCCCGCAACGAGCGCAACCCUCGUUCUGUGUUGCCAGCAUUUAGUUGGGGACUCACAGGAGACUGCCGGGGUUAACUCGGAGGAAGGUGGGGAUGACGUCAAAUCAUCAUGCCCCUUAUGUCUUGGGCUGCACGCAUGCUACAAUGGCUGGUACAAACGGCUGCGAUACCGCAAGGUGGAGCGAAUCCGAUAAAGCCAGUCUCAGUUCGGAUUGGGGUCUGCAACUCGACCCCAUGAAGUCGGAGUUGCUAGUAAUCGUAGAUCAGCAACGCUACGGUGAAUACGUUCCCGGGGCUUGUACACACCGCCCGUCACAUCACGAAAGUCGGUAACACCCAAAGUCAGUGGCCCAACCGCAAGGAGGGAGCUGCCAAAGGUGGGAUCGGUGAUUGGGAUGAAGUCGUAACAAGGUA